This 484-nucleotide ribosomal RNA is filed under the name uncultured bacterium. RNAcentral describes it as "partial 16S ribosomal RNA". It matches the Rfam family "Bacterial small subunit ribosomal RNA", at positions 28 to 507 of the family's 1533-position model. The record is from RNAcentral.
AUUGAACGCUGGCGGCAUGCUUUACACAUGCAAGUCGAACGGCAGCGCGGGCUUCGGCCUGGCGGCGAGUGGCGAACGGGUGAGUAAUGCAUCGGAACGUGCCCAGUAGUGGGGGAUAGCCCGGCGAAAGCCGGAUUAAUACCGCAUACGACCUGAGGGUGAAAGCGGGGGACCGAAAGGCCUCGCGCUAUUGGAGCGGCCGAUGUCGGAGUAGCUAGUUGGUGGGGUAAAGGCUUACCAAGGCGACGAUCCGUAGCUGGUCUGAGAGGACGACCAGCCACACUGGGACUGAGACGGGGCCCAGACUCCUACGGGAGGCAGCAGUGGGGAAUUUUGGACAAUGGGGGCAACCCUGAUCCAGCCAUGCCGCGUGCGGGAAGAAGGCCUUCGGGUUGUAAACCGCUUUUGUUCGGGAAGAAAUCCUCUGGGCUAAUACCCCGGGGGGAUGACGGUACCGGAAGAAUAAGCACCGGCUAACUACGUG